Molecule: long non-coding RNA, 207 nt
Filed under: Salvator merianae (Argentine black and white tegu)
Lineage: Eukaryota; Metazoa; Chordata; Lepidosauria; Squamata; Teiidae
Description: lncRNA (ENSSMRG00000012699.1)
Source: RNAcentral
GAGAAAGACAGAGGAAGGAACUUAUUGAGAGUGAAGAUCGAGGAGUGAAGAAAGAAGUAAGAAAGGAUUGGAGUGAUUGAGUUGCAGUGAUUCAUCUAUGGCCAUUGAAUGCCUGGAAGGAUCAUUGUGGUCCUCUUGGACAAUACCAGUGGGGCACAGAAUGACCACACAUAAUCUGCACCUGACCUAUUACUAGGGGAGGAUGGA